CACGUAAGGGGCGAGCGUUGUUCGGAAUUAUUGGGCGUAAAGGGCGUGUAGGCGGCUCAACAAGCUUGGUGUGAAAGGCUACGGCUUAACCGUAGUUAUGCGCUGAGAACUGUUGGGCUUGAGUUUUGGAGGGGGAGCUGGAAUUCCAGGUGUAGGGGUGAAAUCUGUAGAUAUCUGGAAGAACACCGGAGGCGAAGGCGAGCUCCUGGCCAUGAACUGACGCUGAGGCGCGAAAGCGUGGGGAGCAAACAGG
This 253-nucleotide ribosomal RNA is filed under the name uncultured bacterium. Its description in RNAcentral is "partial 16S ribosomal RNA". It matches the Rfam family "Bacterial small subunit ribosomal RNA", at positions 524 to 776 of the family's 1533-position model. The record is from RNAcentral.